GACGAACGCUGGCGGCGUGCCUAAUACAUGCAAGUCGAGCGAGCUUGCCUAGAUGAAUUUGGUGCUUGCACCAAAUGAAACUAGAUACAAGCGAGCGGCGGACGGGUGAGUAACACGUGGGUAACCUGCCCAAGAGACUGGGAUAACACCUGGAAACAGAUGCUAAUACCGGAUAACAACACUAGACGCAUGUCUAGAGUUUAAAAGAUGGUUCUGCUAUCACUCUUGGAUGGACCUGCGGUGCAUUAGCUAGUUGGUAAGGUAACGGCUUACCAAGGCAAUGAUGCAUAGCCGAGUUGAGAGACUGAUCGGCCACAUUGGGACUGAGACACGGCCCAAACUCCUACGGGAGGCAGCAGUAGGGAAUCUUCCACAAUGGACGCAAGUCUGAUGGAGCAACGCCGCGUGAGUGAAGAAGGGUUUCGGCUCGUAAAGCUCUGUUGGUAGUGAAGAAAGAUAGAGGUAGUAACUG
RNAcentral lists this ribosomal RNA (472 nucleotides) under Lactobacillus gasseri. RNAcentral describes it as "bacterial SSU rRNA". It matches the Rfam family "Bacterial small subunit ribosomal RNA", at positions 28 to 467 of the family's 1533-position model. The record is from RNAcentral. Lineage: Bacteria; Bacillati; Bacillota; Bacilli; Lactobacillales; Lactobacillaceae.